Molecule: long non-coding RNA, 759 nt
Organism: Bombyx mori (domestic silkworm)
Lineage: Eukaryota; Metazoa; Arthropoda; Insecta; Lepidoptera; Bombycidae
Exons: 2
Source: RefSeq, a predicted model, not a curated record
AAUACAUUUAAAGAAAAACACAAAUUGCCCACACGAUUUAUUCCAGUUUGUUUGUGAUCAAACUGGCGAAUUCAUUUACAAGCAAAUGUAGGUCACCUAUAAUAAAUAUGUAAAUUUUAUAGCUCAACCUCUUUCGAUAGGAAAACUAUUUAUAUAGCCUAUUCGUUGACAGCAUUUUCACAGAUCUUUAAGCCAUCUUUAUAUUUUUAUUCUAAUGUUAUCUUUAUCUGAUUUACGACUAUUUACAGAUAUUUCAAUACCAAAAUUACGAAAACGACUUUUUUAUUAUUAUUGCUAGACUUGCACCUAUUUACAAAAAUAAAUAAUAGAAUACGAGAAAUAUAUGACCAAAAGUUUAAACAUUAAUAAUGGUGUUCAAUUAGCAAAAUGGACUGUACGUAGAAGACACAUACUUUCAAGGCUACUUAUUCCCUCAGCGUUCACUUUGAAAUACCGAGGCAAGCAUGAGUUAUUCGUGGGAUUUAUUAAAAUUCAAGAUUCAUACGCGCGUAAGUCAUCAGAACAUUCAUCAGAAGAUAUAGAUGCAACUUUGUUUAUAGUUUGCUGGGCACGUCUUCAAAAUGAGACAAGAGAGGACUGCUAACAUUUUUCGAUUAAAUAAACGAAAUAACAAUUUGUAUACCAAAUCUAUUAAGUGAAAAUAAAAAUAACUAAUAUAUUCAUAAGGUUUUGUUUAUUUACUAACAAUCAAUUGUGAAGUGAAAUAUAUUGGUUUGAAUAAAAAAUCUACGUAUUAAA